GACAAGGCUUUGGUAGAGGAGGUUGUUGUGUUAGUAUUGCCAUGGGUAGUGUUAUGAGCCUGGUGAUAGUGUGACAAGGCUUUGGUAGAGGAGGUUGUUGUGUUAGUAUUGCCAUGGGUAGUGUUAUGAGCCUGGUGAUAGUGUGACAAGGCUUUGGUAGAGGAGGUUGUUGUGUUAGUAUUGCCAUGGGUAGUGUUAUGAGCCUGGUGAUAGUGUGACAAGGCUUUGGUAGAGGAGGUUGUUGUGUUAGUAUUGCCAUGGGUAGUGUUAUGAGCCUGGUGAUAGUGUGACAAGGCUUUGGUAGAGGAGGUUGUUGUGUUAGUAUUGCCAUGGGUAGUGUUAUGAGCCUGGUGAUAGUGUGACAAGGCUUUGGUAGAGGAGGUUGUUGUGUUAGUAUUGCCAUGGGUAGUGUUAUGAGC
This is a long non-coding RNA of Eriocheir sinensis (Chinese mitten crab), 419 nucleotides long. RefSeq lists it as uncharacterized. The transcript has 3 exons. The record is from RefSeq and is a predicted model, not a curated record. Lineage: Eukaryota; Metazoa; Arthropoda; Malacostraca; Decapoda; Varunidae.